AGUGGGUGCUGAGGAAGGAGCUG
RNAcentral lists this non-coding RNA (23 nucleotides) under Cricetulus griseus (Chinese hamster). The record is from RNAcentral. Lineage: Eukaryota; Metazoa; Chordata; Mammalia; Rodentia; Cricetidae.